Prinia subflava (tawny-flanked prinia) is the source of this 716-nucleotide long non-coding RNA. RefSeq lists it as uncharacterized. The transcript is spliced from 5 exons. NCBI's taxonomy places the organism in Eukaryota, Metazoa, Chordata, Aves, Passeriformes, Cisticolidae. The record is from RefSeq and is a predicted model, not a curated record.
CUUUCUGCCAGUACUGGCUGCCGCUUGAGCGUUGGUCGCAGCGCUGAGCCACGAGCACAACUGGUUCAGUAGCCUUUGUUCUCAGAGCGCUGCCUGUUCUCAGCCACGACAGCCCCUCAGCCAUGACAUCCGCCCCGCCUUGACACUCCCUGAGCCGUGACUCUCCCUUAGCCAUAUCAGCACCUCAGCUGAGUGGACUGCAUGGAGAGAGCUGUCUGACCUGGCUGACACCACCGAAGUGCAAGGACUGGCACUGCUGACAGAAAUGAAGUUUUCCAGCUCUUGCAUCCAGAGACAAUACGGUGAAAGGAAGAUCAGGCUUCAGAGCUCUGCAGCCAUCCAUCCCUACCAGUCAGCAGCAAGUUCCUACUCCUGUCACAGUUACAGGCAUCUUUACCUUUGAACGUGGUUGGAACAAGAACUGGCCCAGUGUGGAGCUCUGGGAAAUAAUUGACUGCAGGAGUACUUCAUUCAUCACUGAGUUGAUUUGAACCAAAUUACUCAGGUAACCUACACAUGAUGAGCCCAGUGAUGUGAGGUGCCCAGACAUCCUAAUUCCCAAAGGAGGAGCUCAGCAGAGCUGGCCUUGCACAGAUCCAGUCAGCUGGAAGAUGAGAUCAGGUCUCUGCACUCUCCUGUGACAGAGCAGGCUGUGUGGGGUAAUUGAAUUAAGAGAGCCUGUGAUCAGCUGUGCUUCUGUUUUCAAGCUCCAAAAC